Lynx canadensis (Canada lynx) is the source of this 1558-nucleotide long non-coding RNA. The record is from Ensembl. Lineage: Eukaryota; Metazoa; Chordata; Mammalia; Carnivora; Felidae.
CAGGCUUCACGCUGCCAGUGUAGCCCGAUGCAAGAUUCGAACCCACGAACCGUGAGAUCAUGACCUGAGCUGAAAUCAAGAGUCAGAUGCUUAACUGACUGAGCCACCCAGGCACCCCUGGAAUUUUCUCAUUUUAAGAAAAAUGACUUAGAUGAGGUCCAAUUUGUCAUUUUUUCCUUUUAUGAAUUGUGCUUUUAAGGUCAAGUCUAAGAACGUUUCACUUGAUCCUAAGUCCCCCCAGUUUUCUCCUUAAAAUGUUAUAGUUUUGUUUUAUAUUUAAAUCUAUGAUUCCUUUUGAGUGAGUUUUUUUUACAAGGUGUGGAAUUUAGGUAAGGUUUAAUUUUUGUUUAUUUACUUAUAUUUUACCUGUGGGCGUCCAUUUGCUCCAUUACCAUUUAUCUGUUAAAAGGCAUAUUCUUCCUCCAUUUAAGUUCUUUUGCAUCUUUGUCAAAAAUCACUUGGGCCUUUAUGUGUGGGUUCAUUUGGUUCUUUGUUUUGUCCCACUAAUCUGUGUAUCUAUCACUCUGUCAGUACUAAUGAUUAAUUUUAAUAUUUCCAUUUCCCCCUAGUUUGCACUGGGCGGACCUGGAGCCUGAGACCUAGAAGAGCAGCUGGAUUUGCUGUAGUGUAAUGUCACCCUUCAUGGAUGCCGCCACAUUCAGAGGUUCACCCCCAUCUCUUCUCCAUGCGGCAAAGUAAAAUUCCCAAAGGAAUUUCACAUCAGGUCCACCAGGACAUCCAGCUCUGCUUUUAGGAAAAGUCACCGCGAAGAGGAGGCAGCAACAAUGCCUUCUCAUCCACCAAGCAGUAUGGAUGGGUACUGCAUGCUGAAGCCUCUCAUGUCAGAAAACUCCAGGUCUUUCUCCCCCCAGGUCUCAUGGAAGGACACAGGGGAAUGUAUAUAGCCCACAUACAUGUUUUGUCAAACUGCUUUUGUACCAAAAUGUUUUUUCAAAUGGCUUCUAACAUAAAACCAAAAGCCACAUAAAAAUCUGCAUAUCUGGCUCUCCUUGGAAAGCCAAGACAUCUAAGAAACCCAUAUUAAUUCAACCAUGUUGUCUCCCCAUCCCUUAAAAAGGACAGACUUCCUUGGUGGCUACCCGAAAUGGGGUAAUGAAGGCCAUGACUAUGCAAUCUUCUAGAAACUCUGGUUAUUCACAUAAACCACUCUCCAGACCAUGAGCUCUAUCCUCUCAAUGUCAGAGUUCUUGUGUGGUGACAGCCACGAGGUGAACAGCUCAGGAAGAAUAUAGGAAUUCAUAAAACACUUAUUUGGAUUUGCAUUAUGGGUGCUACACAGGUCUGCGGAUCUUAGAAGUUCUGCACCCUUGGGGCACCUGGGUGGCUUGGUUGGUUAAGCACCCAACUUUGGCUCAGGUCAUGAUCUCACAGUUUGUGGGUUUGAGCCCCUUGUUGGGCUCUGUGCUGACAGCUCAGAGCUUGGAGCUUGUUUCAGAUUCUGCGGCUCCCUCUCUGCCUCUCCCUGGCUUGUGCUCUCUCUCUCAAAAAUGAAUAAACAUUAAAAGAAGAAGAAGAGGAGGAGGAGGGGGAGGGGAUG